This 692-nucleotide ribosomal RNA is filed under the name uncultured bacterium. RNAcentral describes it as "bacterial SSU rRNA". It matches the Rfam family "Bacterial small subunit ribosomal RNA", at positions 1 to 696 of the family's 1533-position model. The record is from RNAcentral.
CCCUUAGAGUUUGAUCCUGGCUCAGAAUGAACGCUGGCGGCGUGCUUUACACAUGCAAGUCGAGCGAGGCGUGGAGCAAUCCACAGUCGAGCGGCGAACGGGUGAGUAACGCGUGGAUGACCUGCCCUUCAGCGGGGAAUAACCCGGGGAAACUCGGGCUAAUACCGCAUACGACCGAGAGGUGAAAGGGGCCCGCAAGGGUCUCACUGAAGGAGGGGUCCGCGUUCGAUUAGCUAGUUGGUAGGGUGAUGGCCUACCAAGGCGACGAUCGAUAGCCGGCCUGAGAGGGUGAUCGGCCACACUGGAACUGAGACACGGUCCAGACUCCUACGGGAGGCAGCAGUGGGGAAUUUUGCGCAAUGGGCGGAAGCCUGACGCAGCAACGCCGCGUGGAGGAUGAAGGUCUUUGGAUUGUAAACUCCUGUCAGCAGGGAAAAAGGGACUGGGCCUCAUACGUCCGGAACUUGAUUGUACCUGCAGAGGAAGCCCCGGCUAACUCUGUGCCAGCAGCCGCGGUAAUACAGAGGGGGCAAGCGUUAUUCGGAAUUAUUGGGCGUAAAGGGCGCGUAGGCGGCUUUGCAAGUGACGGGUGAAAUCCCUCGGCUUAACCGAGGAACUGCCUGUCAGACUGUGAGGCUUGAGACCGGAAGAGGAGAGUGGAAUUCCUGGUGUAGCGGUGGAAUGCGCAGAUA